AGUACCUCUGUUUAAUAGGUUGAUGUUC
Molecule: small RNA, 28 nt
Filed under: Bombyx mori (domestic silkworm)
Lineage: Eukaryota; Metazoa; Arthropoda; Insecta; Lepidoptera; Bombycidae
Description: ovarian small RNA-12251
Source: RNAcentral